RNAcentral lists this small RNA (94 nucleotides) under Chryseobacterium takakiae. Its description in RNAcentral is "Flavo-1 RNA". It matches the Rfam family "Flavo-1 RNA". Lineage: Bacteria; Pseudomonadati; Bacteroidota; Flavobacteriia; Flavobacteriales; Weeksellaceae. The record is from RNAcentral.
UAUUAGCCCCGAUUGAAACGACAUCCUUUUCGGGUGCGGGCGGAGCAAAGCGGAGCCCGUACCCGAAAAGAUACAGUGGAAAGCGGGAAAAAGC